GACGAACGCUGGCGGCGUGCCUAAUACAUGCAAGUCGAGCGGAGUCAUUUUGAAAGCUUGCUUUCAAAAUGACUUAGCGGCGGACGGGUGAGUAACACGUAGGCAACCUGCCCCUUAGACUGGGAUAACUACCGGAAACGGUAGCUAAUACCGGAUAUUUUCUUUUUUCUCCUGAAAAAAGAAUGAAAGACGGAGCAAUCUGUCACUGAGGGAUGGGCCUGCGGCGCAUUAACUAGUUGGUGGGGUAACGGCCCACCAAGGCGACGAUGCGUAGCCGACCUGAGAGGGUGAACGGCCCCACUGGGACUGAAACACGGCCCAAACUCCUAGGGGAGGCAGCAGUAGGGAAUCUUCCGCAAUGGACGAAAGUCUGACGGAGCAACGCCGCGUGAGUGAUGAAGGUUUUCGGAUCGUAAAGCUCUGUUGCCAGAGAAGAACGUCCGGUAGAGUAACUACUAUCGGAGUGACGGUACCUGAGAAGAAAGCCCCGGCUAACUACGUGCCAGCAGCCGCGGUAAUACGUAGGGGGCAAGCGUCGUCCG
Molecule: ribosomal RNA, 542 nt
Filed under: uncultured bacterium
Lineage: Bacteria
Description: bacterial SSU rRNA
Rfam family: Bacterial small subunit ribosomal RNA
Source: RNAcentral